GAGGGGAGUGAAAAAGAACCUGAAACCGUGUACGUACAAGCAGUGGGAGCCUCUUAAUGGGGUGACUGCGUACCUUUUGUAUAAUGGGUCAGCGACUUAUAUUCUGUAGCAAGGUUAACCGAAUAGGGGAGCCGAAGGGAAACCGAGUCUUAACUGGGCGUUAAGUUGCAGGGUAUAGACCCGAAACCCGGUGAUCUAGCCAUGGGCAGGUUGAAGGUUGGGUAACACUAACUGGAGGACCGAACCGACUAAUGUUGAAAAAUUAGCGGAUGACUUGUGGCUGGGGGUGAAAGGCCAAUCAAACCGGGAGAUAGCUGGUUCUCCCCGAAAGCUAUUUAGGUAGCGCCUCGUGAAUUCAUCUCCGGGGGUAGAGCACUGUUUCGGCAAGGGGGUCAUCCCGACUUACCAACCCGAUGCAAACUGCGAAUACCGGAGAAUGUUAUCACGGGAGACACACGGCGGGUGCUAACGUCCGU
Molecule: ribosomal RNA, 476 nt
Filed under: Escherichia coli
Lineage: Bacteria; Pseudomonadati; Pseudomonadota; Gammaproteobacteria; Enterobacterales; Enterobacteriaceae
Description: partial 23S ribosomal RNA
Rfam family: Bacterial large subunit ribosomal RNA
Source: RNAcentral